UUCUCGACAAAUGGAUAAUAUAAAAGAAUACUAUAACUAUGUGGAAUUCUGGAUAUAUAGAAAAUAUUUUUUUUAUUCUCAUCCCUUCUUCCAUCAAAAGGAAAAUUUUAAAAAAAAUCUACAAGAUUUACAAAAUUGCUUCUGUUCCUUCUUUCCAAUGCCACUUGACUAGAUUGUAAGCUGCAUUGGAAAGAAGGAACAGAAG
RNAcentral lists this unclassified non-coding RNA (205 nucleotides) under Hevea brasiliensis (rubber tree). The record is from RNAcentral. Lineage: Eukaryota; Viridiplantae; Streptophyta; Magnoliopsida; Malpighiales; Euphorbiaceae.